GCAGUGGUGGUUCAGGGGUAGAAUUCUCGCCUUCGAUGCGGGAGACCUGGGUUCCAGUCCCAGCCAAAGCA
Molecule: transfer RNA, 71 nt
Filed under: Loxodonta africana (African savanna elephant)
Lineage: Eukaryota; Metazoa; Chordata; Mammalia; Proboscidea; Elephantidae
Rfam family: tRNA
About the family: Transfer RNA (tRNA) molecules are approximately 80 nucleotides in length. Their secondary structure includes four short double-helical elements and three loops (D, anti-codon, and T loops).
Source: Rfam by way of RNAcentral